This 3243-nucleotide ribosomal RNA is filed under the name Triticum aestivum (bread wheat). RNAcentral's name for it is "partial small subunit ribosomal RNA". The record is from RNAcentral. Lineage: Eukaryota; Viridiplantae; Streptophyta; Magnoliopsida; Poales; Poaceae.
AUGACGGAGCUAAACCCUAAGCCCAAGUCCGCAAAGAAAGCGAGGAAGGCCGCCGCCGGUGGGGAGGAGAAGGGCAUGGAUGCGCUCAAGUCCGAUGUAAUCCCCAAGCUGAAGUCCAGCAAGAAAUCAAAGAAGCCCGCCGCCGAGGAGGGUGAAGAUAAGGGUGCGGACGUGCUCAAGUCCGACGUAAGUCCGGAACCGAAGUCCACCAAGAAGAAGAAGAAGAAGAAGAAGAAGUCCGCCGCCGGUGGGGAGGAGGAUGACAUUGACGCGAUCAAGUCCGACGUCGCCUCGUUCGCCUCGUCGCUGGGACUUGUCCCCGGCGCCGGCAACUCCUCCGGGUUCGACGACUCCGACUUCCGCAAGUCCGGCCCCAUGAGCGCCCCCAAACCGCCCAAGCACCCCCAAACCCCAGAAGCGCCCGCAAACACCGAACCCCCCCAAAACCCUAAACCUACCAAGAAACCGCAUCCUCUCGAGCUCCAUGGCCCUCGUACCGCCGCCACCACCAGUGCCACCACCAAUUACCCGCUGGUAAAGGCGGGUGCUCUCUCCGGGCAGUGGUACGCUGAUGCUGCUGAGCUGGAGGCCAGGGUCCUAGGCGACCGUAAGCAUGCCGCACCAGCAGUGGGGCUUCAGGAGAUGCAGCGGAUGGUGGAGCGGAAGCGGGAGCUGGCAGAGAAGCUCAUGGCGCAGUACUCGAGGGAGUAUGACUCGGUGCGGCGGGGAACUGGUGAUCUGAAGCUCCUGGAAAUGUCGGCCAAGUCUGGUACAUCAGCCGAUAAGGUGUCGGCGUUCACAUGUCUAGUCGAGGACAAUCCAAUAGCAAACAUGAGGGCGCUUGACUCUCUCCUCGGUAUGGUUGCAUCAAAGGUUGGUAAAAGGUAUGCAUUCACAGGCUUUGAUGCAUUGAGGGAGUUGUUCGAAAUGAGGUUAUUGCCUGAUCGUAAGUUGAAAAGUCUUAUUCAGCGCCCAUUAGACAUUUUACCUGAAACAAAAGAUGGCUACUCGCUUCUCCUAUUCUGGCAUUGGGAAGACUGCUUGAAACAGAGGUAUGAGAAGUUUGUUAUUGCACUGGAGGUUGCGUUAAAAGAUAUGCUGCCAAGCCUUAAGGACAAAGCAAUGAAGACAGUUUCUGCCCUUCUAAAGAGUAAAUCUGAACAGGAACGCCGGUUACUUACAGCUCUUGUUAACAAACUUGGAGAUCCUGAAAGGAGGGCAGCAUCAAGUGCCGCGUAUCUGUUAACAGGUCUUCUGUCCACUCAUCCAAAUAUGAAGAUGGUUGUGAUAGAUGAGGUGGACUCAUUUCUGUUCAGACCACAUGUUGGGCUUCGGGCCAAAUACCAAGCCGUCAACUUUUUGAGCCAUAUUUUUCUUACCAGUAAAGGAGAUGGACCUAAAAUUGCAAAACGGUUGGUGGAUGUCUACAUUGCGGUUUUCAAGGUACUCAUGUCUUACCCUCGUGAUAGUAAAGGAGAAAAACAAAGUAAACAUGGCAAGAAAAAGGUUGAAAAUGGGAAAACAAAGGGGCGAGAGGACAAGGUCAACGACUCUAAUUCACAUGGAAACCAUGAAAUGGAUCCACCAGCAGGAACAGAUUUAGAGAUGGAUUCCCGCCUUCUCUCUGCACUUUUAUCUGGCGUAAAUAGAGCGCUACCAUAUGUUGCAAGCUCUGAAGUUGAUGAUAUUGUGGAAGUUCAGACACCAAUUCUUUUUAGACUGGUUCACUCUGAGAACUUCAAUGUUGGUGUUCAGGCGUUAAUGCUUUUAUAUCAGAUCUCCACAAAAAAUCAGAUAGCAAGUGACCGUUUUUACCGCGCGUUAUAUGCGAAACUUUUGAGUCCUUCAGCUGUUUCUUCAUCAAAGCCGGAAUUAUUUCUGGGUCUGUUGGUGAAAGCAAUGAAGAACGAUGUAAUGCUGAAGAGAGUAGCUGCAUUUUCGAAGCGUCUGCUUCAGGUUGCUCUUCAACGCCCUCCACAGUAUGCUUGUGGAUGCCUUUUCAUACUGUCUGAGGUCCUUAAAACAAAGCCACCAUUAUGGACGAUUGUGCUCCAGAAUGAAUCUGUCGAUGAUGGUAUCGAACACUUCGAAGACAUUGUAGAGAAUCCUGAGGACCCUGCUAUUGCUUCAACAAGUCCAAUCAAACAGGAUAGUAUGUUGGCUUCACUUGAGAAAUACAAUUCUGACGGCGAGGAUGAUUCUGAUGCUACGAAACAAGUAAAAGUGUCCGCUAGUGAUGAGAACGGUCAAACCAAUGCAUCAGCUGAGGGGUCGACAUCACAUGUAUUAUAUAAUCCACGACACAGAGAGCCUUCUUACUGCAACGCAGAUCGUGCUAGUUGGUGGGAGCUAACGUUAUUGGCCUCACAUGUGCACCCGUCAGUAUUUACAAUGGCUAGGACAUUGCUAUCUGGAAACAAUAUUGUUUAUAAUGGUGAUCCAUUGACAGACCUGUCGCUUCCUGCCUUCCUUGACAAAUUCAUGGAGAAGAAACCAAAAGGAAACCGCAUCGCUGAAGGGAAAUGGCAUGGUGGAUCACAAAUUGCACCAGCUAAAAAGCUUGACCUGAAUCAUCAUCUCAUUGGACAAGAUCUGCUAGAAUUGGCAGAAAAUGAAGUUCCUCCAGAAGAUGUUGUUUUCCAUCGCUUCUACAUGAACAAGACAGGCCCUAUUAAGCCCAAGGCAAAGAAGAAAGCUUCAGUUCUGGAUGAAGAUACUGGAGAGCUCUUAGCUGAUGACGUUGAUGAUGGCAGUGAUGAAAGUGAUGACGAGAUGCAGGAGCUGGAUGAAAGUGAUGACGAGAUGCAGGAGCUGGAAGAUGAGUCCGCGGAGGAUGGAGAAUAUGACUACGACAAUCUGGACGCCAAGGCAUUUGAGGAGGAAGGGGAUUUGCUUAGAGAUGACAGUGAUGCUGAUGUGUUGGAUGACAUUUCAGAUGACGACGAGGAUGAUGAUGAAGAUGAUGGUCUUAACUUGUCGUAUGUGGACGAGAGUGCUGACGAUUCAGAUGAUGAUGUUACCGAUGUAAAGGCUGCAGCUGCAGCCCGUGGGCAAAAGCGAAAGAGCCGCUCAACUCCAUUUGCAAGUCUAGAAGAGUACGAACAUCUCAUGGAGGGGGAGGCCGAGAAGUCUACUUUGAAGAAGCAGCAGCGGAAGCACAAGGAAGCUGGGGACAGUAUGGGCCGUAAGGAGAGAGGACAGAAACAGUCGGGAUCACGAAAGAGAAAGUCCCAAGAGAUCUGA